GCACGCAACCACGGGGGCACUAAACCCCGAUACGUCGGCACGACAACGCCUCUCCGCACUUAGCUGCCCGUGUACAUCUAAUUGAACGCGCACACACAUACACAUACACAAAGGAACGAGAGGCCCUGCUCGUCCUUGUGCGGGCGUGUUUUUGCGGGCCCACCCGUGCUCUCGCGUGCGCCACGCCACCGCCCCUUUCUGCCAAGACCGGACUUCAGCGAGACGGCACACCGUUACGUGCCGCACACCCGACCCAUUAGGUCCAUGCACCCAUAGAAAUGUCCCUAUGCACAUCCCCACACUUGGAGGAAGCACUCUGCAGCACCAGUGCGGAUGGAGACCGAGGGCGUAGACAAGCUUCCUCUCACAGAGGCGUCGUUUCGGGCGCUGGAGGAGGCGUACGAGAGGCAGUGGUGCCAGACGCGGCUUCUGUGUGAAGCGCCAACGCCGUGCGCUGACGUUCAUGUCGUCGCGGCAGCUUCCAGCGCUGCUAAGCACAUGCGCCGCCUAUGGGCGGAUACAGCGCGACUCCAUAGACGGUUUGUCGAGGUGAAGCAGCAUCGCGACCUUAGUUUCACGCAGGAGGAGCGGGCGUCUCUGCGUCUGCUCGGCUUCCGCUCACCACCGCCGCCACCUGCCUCCAACGACGCGCUCACGCACACCACGUCGCCGGUACCAUCGCCUGUGCACGCCUCUAAUGAAACAACCGCUUCUGGACAAGCGACAGAGGUAGCUGCGUUACGCAAGGAAUGCGCGAGACUCCGACACGAGGGUGCACAGCUGAUGUCAAUUCUGGCAUGCUAUCAGCUCCGCGAGACGCAUGCUCUUGGGUCGAACAACGAUGCAAGGCUUCCCUCACCUUCACAGGGGACAUCUACCUCCGCCUCCGAUGCCUACGCGGAGCUCGCGGAGGUGCAGCGCCAAUAUAGAUUGCUGCUCUCCCCAACAGCAGCGAAGUACAGUCUCACCCCGCCUGACGGCAUUCAGCGGUCCGAGGACGUGGCCAUUGCAGAACUGCUCGUCGAGUGCGGGUUUCCUCGUCAUGUGAGCGUUGUUCGCCUUGGGUCAGACGGCCUCUUCGUGAUCGAUCGCCCGGUAUGGAUCACCUUUGCGUCUCCGCAGAGCGCCACGCUGAUGGUGCGCGACCCCGAAGGGCUCGAGCGUGAAUGCACGCUGGAGUCGUACCUCACAGCGGUGUAUGCACCGCUCCUUCGCGCUUUUCACUGGCAAAAGCCUUCGACGGGUGUGCAGCUGGCUGGAGGGAGUGCAGCCCCGACCUGCUCAGCGGCACUGUCCUUCCCGGCGGUGCCUGUUACGCCUGCGCCACUUUCCGAUGCGGUAAAACGGGAGAGAUCGCCGUCGACUCGGCAUUCCGUGCUGUCCCAGCUGACGUACGAGGAGCUUGUGGAGCUCAAGCACGCAACGCUGCGGCGCCUUGGCCGCACCAGUGAGGCUGCUUCGCAAUCGUGAAGGCGCGAGCGGGGGAGGGAAGGAGGGCGGCGGCUUCAGCAGCGCCUGCCCAAAGAGUUGGGUCGACGCCUUACGCCCUGUCGACAUCCUUUCUCUAACUCUCUGCCGCGCCCUCCCCCUCCGCUUCUGCGUGCUGGCGUGCAGCCGCGGAACACGCUGUAAAGUGCAUUCUUCUUUUUGUAUGUGUCUUCUUUUUAGUAUUCUCGGAUGAUGGCGCACCACCACCAAGGCACAGGUGUGCGCACCGCCCGCGGAGGGCUCAAUGAAAGAGAAGAGGGGUGGAGCGGGGGGGGGCGGGGGUGAGACUUGGUGCGGGCGGGCGAGGUGAUGCCGCGCUUGGCGUUUCUUUUCUCUGCUUUCUCAGUUGAUGCCUCAGCGUUCAAGAAGAGAGUAGGCCGGUAUCAUGUGUGGAAGGGGCACCGGUGCUGGUGAUUCGUACCUCUCUCUUGAAUUAGCAUCAUUGCCCUCUGUGCUCCCGCCUGCGUGCGUGCCAACCAUGACGCAGUCGCGCCACGCUGCCCACCUAGUGGCGUAUGAGUGUGAGAGACAAGUUGUCACAUGUGCCCCUCGUCGACCUCAUCCUUUCUCUCUGUCUUCCUGCACGCACGUGUCGCGCUCCUCUUCUGUUACUUCUUGUUUCCUCUUGUGCUUGCAGUGCUGCGCGCCGGCGCCUCUCGUCUUCUCUCCAUGUGUCGGCGUGUGCAUGCGUGCGUACGACGUUGUUGGCGAGACACUGCCACUUCCAGUCGCAGG
Molecule: unclassified non-coding RNA, 2223 nt
Filed under: Leishmania donovani
Lineage: Eukaryota; Euglenozoa; Kinetoplastea; Trypanosomatida; Trypanosomatidae
Description: gene:LdHU3.26.0330(CDS-product:hypothetical_prote in_conserved)
Source: RNAcentral